This 2312-nucleotide unclassified non-coding RNA is filed under the name Melitaea cinxia (Glanville fritillary). RNAcentral describes it as "misc RNA ENSMCXG00005011960.1". The record is from RNAcentral. Lineage: Eukaryota; Metazoa; Arthropoda; Insecta; Lepidoptera; Nymphalidae.
AGUUAUUUUGAUUUUUGAUUUUGUUUGAACUAAAAUGAACAAAUGCAAUACACUUAUAACGAUAGUAAUUAGAGAGAGUACCUAAAGCCGUAUCGUUAAAGCCGCGAUUACAUGUCGGCGGCUACGAUAAGAGGAUCGUAUUGUCGAUGCAAGGGACUUGCCAAAUGACUGCAGCGUUAUUGCUAAUAACGUAAAAAUGAUCUUCCAACAUCUAAAAGUUAAAUACCUAAUAACACUUAAUUUAACAGGAUGUGAGAAACCGAAUACAAUAUACAAAACUUAUACUGGUACACAUAAACAUAAUAGCGUAUCUUUUAAUAGCUGAAUGGAACUUAAUAACUGAAACGGAUUGUUUCACAUCACGUUUUAUAUCAUCGCAUCAUAAGACCUCAAUUGAAGUAUUUAUUACCUAACUACACUUAAGAAAAAAACUGCUAAAAUCGCUUGAUUCCUCAAUUAAAGCUGUCUAGUACCAGUAUGAAUUUCCAUCAAUUCCAUGUUAUUUAUUUUGUUUUUUUUUUUAAUCGAGGAAAAAAAGGAGUAUACAUAUUAUGUAUGUUCAGGGAUAACUUCGUCGUUUAUCAACCGAUUUUGAUUUUUUUUUUGUUGGAAAGGAGAUAUUCUAGGUGUGGUACCAUGAUAAGGAAAUCAGCAUCUGAUGGUGGGAUCCCAGAGAAAUCGAGGGAAACCCUGGAAAAUCCGCAUAACUUUUUACUGGGUGUACUGAUUUUGAUGAUUUUUAAUUUAAUCGAAAAUCGAUGUUUAUCAUGUGGUCACAUUUAAAUUUCAUCGAGAUCUGAUUACAACUUUUGGAGUAAUCCUUGAUAAUGCAUAUUUAUCAACUAAUUAUUUUUUCGUCUACCUACGUUGUAUUAUUACUUUUCCAUGUAAUUGAAGUCGGUUUUUUUUUCGUUUGCCAACAAACAAUUAUUUCUUAGACCAUUAUAAUUUAUAUUGUUAGAAUAUUCACAUCACUUGCUUAUCUAAAGCGCAUGCUGCUUAACUGCAUUCAAGGGAAAUUAUAUGCAUGCUUAAUACCUAAGCACUAACUUAUUAUAUUAUUUUACACAUGUGGUUCUUAUAAAAUAAAUAAAUCUGUUAAUGUCCUAUCGCUGGGGAAGUCGCUGGGGGAGUCUAUUUUACUUGGGAGCCCUUUAAGUUCCUAUAAUCGCUAUCAGUUGUUAAUUAUAACGAGUUGGAUCAACAACUUCAUCUAUUCUUCUGGGUACGGUAGUAAUAUGACCGUCUUGAUUCAGAUCAGAUACCAAUAUGACAAGACUCACGAGAACCAGACCAAUAACAAAUUUUUGUAUUAACACUAUUAUUUUAACGAUACGAAAGUGCUUUUGAAGCCUUUUUGAAUGAAGUUAUUUUUGAUUUUGAACCAUAAAAAUUACAAAACAUUCAGACAAACAUCGCUACUGUUCGCAGUUGAAAUCACUCAGGUCUUUAAUCAAUAAUAAAAACAGCACAAGACACGUGACAUUAUAACAUUAAAGUCACCUACAGCGCAUAUCACGCGUUAUCAUUACUCUAACGCAGGGUCGUCGACCGUUUAUCAGUGGAUUUCGUAGAACAAUAACAGAUACAACGCGAAUUGUUAUCCAAUAUUUUAAUAUCUAUGCAUUACAUAAAUCUGAAUCGUACAAUGUACAAAUAAAAUUUAUUCUACCUUUUAUUCUAUACGAGGAAGCAUAGGUUAAUUUUAUCUACGCACUCACGACGCGACCGGGAUGUAUUCGUUGUAUAUGUUUCUAUUACGAUCGUUUGACUAUUUUUCGUUACGAUUUGACGGAUUUUCAAGGUAUAUAAAUAUUAUUUAUAAUUAAAAUUUGUAAGGUUCCAAUUAAAAUUCCUUGGGAUGCAAGAUUUGAACUAUGGACAAUGUCACAAAGAUUUACUAUUACUGGAAAGGUACGGAAAAUAAUAAAAAAUAUUUUUAAUGGUAUAGGAUUUAAUGUAUUUAAUGAAAAAUAAACAUUUUAGAUUUAAUUAGCGUUACCUAACAUUGAAAAAUAUAUUUAUAAAUUUACAGGGAAAAAAAUAUAAUUUAUGUGAUAAACAGUGCAGCAAAAACAAUUUGCAGUUUAACAGUGCACUGUGUAAUUAUAAAAUAAUAAAUAUAAAAUGGCUAAAUAUAAAAAUAAAAUCUAUUCCGAUUUCGUCCCUUUUAAAUUACCGUUUCGCAAACAAUAAGAUUAAUAACGUCGCCAAUCCCAAUUCAUCUUCAUGAAAUAUUGUUGACAAUAAAAUCCAUAACAAUUUAAUUUCGAAAACGGCAAAAUGACCGAAGCCCUUCCGAUUUCCACCGA